CAACAUUUUUAACUCUGUCCGAACAUGAAGAAAUUUUGAACACCUUCUUUGAGAAUGCAACGAACCAAACAAUCUCGCAAACAUCAAAUACAAAACGAUGUAUUCAACCUUUGCAGAAGCCUUGACAUAACAUGAUGCUUAUAUUAGCAAGAUUUCCAGGAAAUCAAUGAAUAUCCGAGAGAAACAGACUGUGAUCGAACCCGUCCCGUGGAAAUUACCCGCCCCAUGGCCCUAAACUGGACAUGCAGGACACCGACCCCAACCCCUAACGCCAAGCACACCAACAACUUCAUAAGUAGUGCCUUCUAGCAUCUAAACAAGAUACUCAUAAUCCGCGUAUGUAAAACUAGAGAAAAAUCUACAAAAUGUAUUUUAGCCGCUACU
This 384-nucleotide long non-coding RNA is filed under the name Brassica napus (rape). RNAcentral describes it as "long non-coding RNA (BNAP_LNC004139)". The record is from RNAcentral. Lineage: Eukaryota; Viridiplantae; Streptophyta; Magnoliopsida; Brassicales; Brassicaceae.